GAUGAACGCUGGCGGCGUGCCUAAUACAUGCCAGUCGAGCGAACAGACGAGGAGCUUGCUCCUCUGACGUUAGCGGCGGACGGGUGAGUAACACGUGGAUAACCUACCUAUAAGACUGGGAUACCUUCGGGAAACCGGAGCUAAUACCGGAUAAUAUAUUGAACCGCAUGGUUCAAUAGUGAAAGACGGUUUUGCUGUCACUUAUAGAUGGAUCCGCGCCGCAUUAGCUAGUUGGUAAGGUAACGGCUUACCAAGGCAACGAUGCGUAGCCGACCUGAGAGGGUGAUCGGCCACACUGGAACUGAGACACGGUCCAGACUCCUACGGGAGGCAGCAGUAGGGAAUCUUCCGCAAUGGGCGAAAGCCUGACGGAGCAACGCCGCGUGAGUGAUGAAGGUCUUCGGAUCGUAAAACUCUGUUAUUAGGGAAGAACAAAUGUGUAAGUAACUAUGCACGUCUUGACGGUACCUAAUCAGAAAGCCACGGCUAACUACGUG
Molecule: ribosomal RNA, 497 nt
Filed under: uncultured bacterium
Lineage: Bacteria
Description: partial 16S ribosomal RNA
Rfam family: Bacterial small subunit ribosomal RNA
Source: RNAcentral